GAGUUUGAUCCUGGCUCAGGACGAACGCUGGCGGCGUGCUUAACACAUGCAAGUCGAACGGUAAGGCCCCAGCUUGCUGGGGUACACGAGUGGCGAACGGGUGAGUAACACGUGGGUGACCUGCCCCGCACUUCGGGAUAAGCCUGGGAAACUGGGUCUAAUACCGGAUAGGACCGCACCGUGAGGGUGUGGUGGAAAGUUUUUCGGUGUGGGAUGGGCCCGCGGCCUAUCAGCUUGUUGGUGGGGUAAUGGCCUACCAAGGCGGCGACGGGUAGCCGGCCUGAGAGGGUGGACGGCCACAUUGGGACUGAGACACGGCCCAGACUCCUACGGGAGGCAGCAGUGGGGAAUAUUGCACAAUGGGCGGAAGCCUGAUGCAGCGACGCCGCGUGGGGGAUGACGGCCUUCGGGUUGUAAACUCCUUUCACCAUCGACGAAGGUUUUCUGACGGUAGAUGGAGAAGAAGCACCGGCUAACUACGUGCCAGCAGCCGCGGUAAUACGUAGGGUGCGAGCGUUGUCCGGAAUUACUGGGCGUAAAGAGCUCGUAGGUGGUUUGUCGCGUCGUCUGUGACAUUCCGGGGCUUAACUCCGGGCGUGCAGGCGAUACGGGCAUAACUUGAGUACUGCACGGGAGACUGGAAUUCCUGUUGUCACCGCGAAAUGCGCAGAUAUCAGGACGGAACACCGGUGGCGAAGGCGGGUCUCUGGGCAGUAACUGACGCUGAGGAGCGAAAGCAUGGUUAGCGAACAGGAUUAGAUACCCUGGUAGUCCAUGCCGUAAACGGUGGGCGCUAGGUGUAGGGGUCUUCCACGACUUCUGUGCCGUAGCUAACGCAUUAAGCGCCCCGCCUGGGGAGUACGGCCGCAAGGCUAAAACUCAAAGGAAUUGACGGGGGCCCGCACAAGCGGCGGAGCAUGUGGAUUAAUUCGAUGCAACGCGAAGAACCUUACCUGGGCUUGACAUAUACGGGACCGGGCCAGAGAUGGUCCUUCCCUUGUGGCUCGUAUACAGGUGGUGCAUGGUUGUCGUCAGCUCGUGUCGUGAGAUGUCGGGUUAAGUCCCGCAACGAGCGCAACCCUUGUCUUAUGUUGCCAGCACGUAAUGGUGGGGACUCGUGAGAAACUGCCGGGGUCAACUCGGAGGAAGGUGGAGAUGACGUCAAAUCAUCAUGCCCCUUAUGUCCAGGGCUUCACACAUGCUACAAUGGUCGGUACAGUGGGUUGCGAUGCCGUGAGGUGGAGCUAAUCCCUGAAAGCCGGUCUCAGCCCGGAUCGGGGUCAGCAACUCGACGCCGUGAAGUCGGAGUCGCUAGUAAUCGCAGAUCAGCAACGCUGCGGUGAAUACGUUCCCGGACCUUGUACGGACCGCCCGUC
RNAcentral lists this ribosomal RNA (1376 nucleotides) under uncultured bacterium. RNAcentral's name for it is "bacterial SSU rRNA". It matches the Rfam family "Bacterial small subunit ribosomal RNA". The record is from RNAcentral.